This 400-nucleotide ribosomal RNA is filed under the name uncultured bacterium. RNAcentral's name for it is "bacterial SSU rRNA". It matches the Rfam family "Bacterial small subunit ribosomal RNA", at positions 355 to 773 of the family's 1533-position model. The record is from RNAcentral.
UAAUGAAUCUUCCGCAAUGCGCGAAAGCGUGACGGAGCGACGCCGAGUGAAGGAUGAAGUCCCUCGGGAUGUAAACUUCUAAAACCCGCUAGAAAGUUCUGAUCGGCGGGCUACAAGUGGCGACUAACUCUGUGCCAGCAGUCGCGGUAAUACAGAGGCCACGAGCGUUAGGCGGAAUCACUGGGCUUAAAGCGUGUGUAGGUGGAUGGCUAAGUACCUUGUGAAAUCCCACGGCUCAACCGUGGAACUGCUCGGUAUACUGGUCGUCUUGAGGCACUCAGGGGCGAGCGGAACAGAUGGUGGAGCGGUGAAAUGCGUAGAUAUCAUCUGGAACGCCAAUGGUGAAGACAGCUCGCUGGGGGUGUACUGACACUGAGACACGAAAGCCAGGGGAGCGAAC